RNAcentral lists this transfer RNA (71 nucleotides) under Spurilla braziliana. RNAcentral's name for it is "tRNA-Ser". The record is from RNAcentral. Lineage: Eukaryota; Metazoa; Mollusca; Gastropoda; Nudibranchia; Aeolidiidae.
UAUAAAUUUCUAAACGUUUUGUUUUAGGAGGGUUUUGAAAACCUUUAGAGGGAAAAGAUUUCCCAACUUUA